GACGAACGCUGGCGGCGUGCUUAACACAUGCAAGUCGAACGGAAAGGCCCUGCUUUUGUGGGGUGCUCGAGUGGCGAACGGGUGAGUAACACGUGAGUAACCUGCCCUUGACUUUGGGAUAACUUCAGGAAACUGGGGCUAAUACCGGAUAGGAGCUCCUGCUGCAUGGUGGGGGUUGGAAAGUUUCGGCGGUUGGGGAUGGACUCGCGGCUUAUCAGCUUGUUGGUGGGGUAGUGGCUUACCGAGGCUUUGACGGGUAGCCGGCCUGAGAGGGUGACCGGCCACAUUGGGACUGAGAUACGGCCCAGACUCCUACGGGAGGCAGCAGUGGGGAAUAUUGCACAGUGGGCGGAAGCCUGAUGCAGCAACGCCGCGUGCGGGAUGACGGCCUUCGGGUUGUAAACCGCUUUCGCCUGUGACGAAGCGUGAGUGACGGUAAUGGGUAAAGAAGCACCGGCUAACUACGUG
This 468-nucleotide ribosomal RNA is filed under the name uncultured bacterium. RNAcentral's name for it is "partial 16S ribosomal RNA". It matches the Rfam family "Bacterial small subunit ribosomal RNA", at positions 28 to 507 of the family's 1533-position model. The record is from RNAcentral.